UACGUAGGGGGCGAGCGUUAUCCGGAUUUACUGGGUGUAAAGGGAGCGUAGACGGUUUUUCAAGUCUGAAGUGAAAGCCCGCGGCUCAACUGCGGAACGGCUUUGGAAACUGAGUAACUGGAGUGCUGGAGGGGCAGGCGGAAUUCCGUGUGUAGCGGUGAAAUGCAUAGAUAUCGCGCAGAACUCCGAUUGCGAAGGCAGCCUGCCGCAGCGUUACUGACGCUGAAGCUCGAAAGCGCGGGUAUCGAACAGG
RNAcentral lists this ribosomal RNA (253 nucleotides) under uncultured Lachnospiraceae bacterium. RNAcentral describes it as "partial 16S ribosomal RNA". It matches the Rfam family "Bacterial small subunit ribosomal RNA", at positions 524 to 776 of the family's 1533-position model. The record is from RNAcentral. Lineage: Bacteria; Bacillati; Bacillota; Clostridia; Lachnospirales; Lachnospiraceae.